UACGUAGGGGGCUAGCGUUGUCCGGAAUCAUUGGGCGUAAAGAGCGUGUAGGCGGCCAGAUAAGUCCGCUGUGAAAUCUCGAGGCUCAACUUCGAGCUGUCGGUGGAAACUGUCUGGCUAGAGUCCGGAAGAGGAGAAUGGAAUUCCUGGUGUAGCGGUGAAAUGCGCAGAUAUCAGGAAGAACACCCGUGGCGAAGGCGGUUCUCUGGGACGGUACUGACGCUGAGACGCGAAAGCGUGGGGAGCGAACAGG
This 253-nucleotide ribosomal RNA is filed under the name uncultured bacterium. RNAcentral describes it as "partial 16S ribosomal RNA". It matches the Rfam family "Bacterial small subunit ribosomal RNA", at positions 524 to 776 of the family's 1533-position model. The record is from RNAcentral.